RNAcentral lists this ribosomal RNA (495 nucleotides) under uncultured bacterium. RNAcentral describes it as "partial 16S ribosomal RNA". It matches the Rfam family "Bacterial small subunit ribosomal RNA", at positions 28 to 507 of the family's 1533-position model. The record is from RNAcentral.
GAUGAACGCUGGCGGCGUGCCUAAUACAUGCAAGUAGAACGCUGAAGGAGGAGCUUGCUCUUCUGGAUGAGUUGCGAACGGGUGAGUAACGCGUAGGUAACCUGCCUGGUAGCGGGGGAUAACUAUUGGAAACGCUAGCUAAUACCGCAUGACAACAGUUAUUGCAUGAUAAUCGUUAAAAAGGGGCAACUGUUCCAUUACCAGUUGGACCUUCGUUGUCUUAGUUAGUUGGUGAGGUAACGGCUCACCAAGGAGACGAUACAUAGCCGGCCUGGGGGGGGGGACGGCCAAACUGGGAACGAGACACGGCCCAAACGCCUACGGGAAGGAGCCGUAGGGAAUCUUCGGCAAUGGACGGAAGUCUGACCGAGGAACGCCGCGUGAGGGAAGAAGGGUUUCGGAUCGGAAAGAUCUGUUGUAAGGGAAAAACGAGAGUUGGAGUGGAAUGUGCACACUGUGACGGUAUCUUACCAGAAAGGGACGGCUAACUACGUG